GCCGUGAUAGCUCAGCUGGGAGAGCAGUAGACUGAAGCAUCCCAUCCGGGUUGGUAUUCUAAAGGUCGCCUGUUCGAGCCAGGCUCAUGGCA
Molecule: non-coding RNA, 92 nt
Organism: Sistotremastrum niveocremeum HHB9708
Lineage: Eukaryota; Fungi; Basidiomycota; Agaricomycetes; Sistotremastrales; Sistotremastraceae
Source: the annotation of a GenBank genome assembly